UACGUAGGGUGCAAGCGUUAAUCGGAAUUACUGGGCGUAAAGCGUGCGCAGGCGGUUUUGUAAGACCGAUGUGAAAUCCCCGGGCUUAACCUGGGAACUGCAUUGGUGACUGCAAGGCUUGAGUGUGUCAGAGGGAGGUGGAAUUCCGCGUGUAGCAGUGAAAUGCGUAGAGAUGUGGAGGAACACCGAUGGCGAAGGCAGCCCCCUGGGUCAAGAUUGACGCUCAUGCACGAAAGCGUGGGGAGCAAACAGG
This 253-nucleotide ribosomal RNA is filed under the name uncultured bacterium. Its description in RNAcentral is "partial 16S ribosomal RNA". It matches the Rfam family "Bacterial small subunit ribosomal RNA", at positions 524 to 776 of the family's 1533-position model. The record is from RNAcentral.